ACUGAAGAUGGCGACCGGCGCACGGGUGAGUAACACGUAUCCAACCUGCCGAUAACUCCGGAAUAGCCUUUCGAAAGAAAGAUUAAUACCGGAUAGCAUACGAAUAUCGCAUGAUAUUUUUAUUAAAGAAUUUCGGUUAUCGAUGGGGAUGCGUUCCAUUAGUUUGUUGGCGGGGUAACGGCCCACCAAGACUACGAUGGAUAGGGGUUCUGAGAGGAAGGUCCCCCACAUUGGAACUGAGACACGGUCCAAACUCCUACGGGAGGCAGCAUG
RNAcentral lists this ribosomal RNA (273 nucleotides) under uncultured bacterium. Its description in RNAcentral is "partial 16S ribosomal RNA". It matches the Rfam family "Bacterial small subunit ribosomal RNA", at positions 81 to 353 of the family's 1533-position model. The record is from RNAcentral.